CAAAUUAGAGCUUGAUUAAAAAGUAUUUCAUUUACAUUGAAAAGAUAUUAAAAUUUAAUUAAUUUGA
RNAcentral lists this transfer RNA (67 nucleotides) under Lacera procellosa. RNAcentral's name for it is "tRNA-Val". The record is from RNAcentral. Lineage: Eukaryota; Metazoa; Arthropoda; Insecta; Lepidoptera; Erebidae.